CAGUCGCCGCGGUAAUACGAAGGGGGCUAGCGUUGUUCGGAAUCACUGGGCGUAAAGGGUGCGUAGGCGGAUUCUUAAGUCAGGGGUGAAAUCCCAAGGCUCAACCUUGGAACUGCCUUUGAUACUGUUUGUCUUGAGUUCGAGAGAGGUAAGUGGAACUGCGAGUGUAGAGGUGAAAUUCGUAGAUAUUCGCAAGAACACCAGUGGCGAAGGCGACUCUCUGGUCUGUAACUGACGCUGAGGAGCGAAAGCGUGGGGAGCGAACAGGAUUAGAUACCCGAGUAGUCCCUGUCUCUUAUAC
Molecule: ribosomal RNA, 301 nt
Filed under: uncultured bacterium
Lineage: Bacteria
Description: partial 16S ribosomal RNA
Rfam family: Bacterial small subunit ribosomal RNA
Source: RNAcentral